This 1243-nucleotide ribosomal RNA is filed under the name metagenome. RNAcentral describes it as "bacterial LSU rRNA". It matches the Rfam family "Bacterial large subunit ribosomal RNA", at positions 1564 to 2815 of the family's 2925-position model. The record is from RNAcentral.
UGAGUCCGACUCUCUACGGAGAGGAAGUGAUAGAUGUCAGGCUUCCUAGAAAAGCCCGAACCACGUUAAUUACUAAUUACCUGUACCCGAAACCGACACAGGUGGGUAGGUAGAGUAUACUAAGGGGCGCGAGAUAACUCUCCCUAAGGAACUCGGCAAAAUGACUCCGUAACUUCGGGAGAAGGAGUGCCUUAUUUAUAAGGUUGCAAUAACAAGAUCCAAGCAACUGUUUAUCAAAAACACAGGUCUCCGCUAAGUCGUAAGACGAUGUAUGGGGGCUGACGCCUGCCCAGUGCCAGAAGGUUAAAGAAGUUGGUUAGUGUAUGCGAAGCUGAUGACUGAAGCCCUGGUGAACAGCGGCCGUAACGAUAACGGUCCUAAGGUAGCGAAAUUCCUUGUCGGGUAAGUUCCGACCCGCACGAAAGGCGUAAUGAUUUGGAUACUGUCUCGGAGAGAGGCUCGGUGAAAUAGACUUGUCUGUGAAGAUGCGGACUACCUGCACCAGGACAGAAAGACCCUAUGAAGCUUUACUGUAACUUGAAAUUGGAAUUGGACUUUGCUUGCGCAGUAUAGGUGGGAAGCGUUGAAAAUAUUCUUGCGGGAGUAUUGGAGCUAUCAGUGAGAUACCACUCUUGUAAUGUUAGAUUUCUAACUUUGAACCAUAAUCUGGUCAAAGAACAGUUUCAGGUGGGCAGUUUGACUGGGGCGGUCGCCUCCCAAAUGGUAACGGAGGCGUACAAAGGUUUCCUCUGAACGGAUAGAAAUCGUAUCUAGAGUGUAAAGGCAUAAGGAAGCUUGACUGUGAGACCUACAAGUCGAGCAGGGACGAAAGUCGGUCUUAGUGAUCUGACGGUACUGAGUGGAAAGGCCGUCACUCAACGGAUAAAAGUUACUCUAGGGAUAACAGGCUGAUCUCCCCCAAGAGUUCACAUCGACGGGGAGGUUUGGCACCUCGAUGUCGGCUCAUCGCAUCCUGGGGCGGUAGUACGUCCCAAGGGUUGGGCUGUUCGCCCAUGAAAGCGGUACGCGAGCUGGGUUCAGAACGUCGUGAGACAGUUCGGUCCAUAUCCGGUGUAGGCGCUAGAAUAUUGAGAGGAGCCUUCUUUAGUACGAGAGGACCGAGAAGGACACACCGCUGGUGUACCAGUUAUCGUGCCAACGGUAAACGCUGGGUAGCUAUGUGUGGAGUGGAUAACCGCUGAAAGCAUCUAAGUGGGAAGCCCACCUCGAGAUGAGUAUUCUC